ACAUGCCUACAACAUAGCGCUAAUUCAUCAGAUCCCAUUAUAAUUCCACAGUUAAGCACGCUCAGGCUAGAGUAGUAUUGGGAUAGGUGACCGCUUGAGAAGUCCUAGUGUUUUACAUGCU
Molecule: non-coding RNA, 121 nt
Organism: Picea glauca (white spruce)
Lineage: Eukaryota; Viridiplantae; Streptophyta; Pinopsida; Pinales; Pinaceae
Source: Rfam